Molecule: ribosomal RNA, 724 nt
Filed under: bacterium enrichment culture clone C_2011_0.5_m_Cu_2
Lineage: Bacteria
Description: bacterial SSU rRNA
Rfam family: Bacterial small subunit ribosomal RNA
Source: RNAcentral
AUUGAACGCUGGCGGCAGGCUUAACACAUGCAAGUCGAGCGGUAGCACAAGGGAGCUUGCUCUCUGGGUGACGAGCGGCGGACGGGUGAGUAAUGUCUGGGAAACUGCCUGAUGGAGGGGGAUAACUACUGGAAACGGUAGCUAAUACCGCAUAACGUCGCAAGACCAAAGAGGGGGACCUUCGGGCCUCUUGCCAUCAGAUGUGCCCAGAUGGGAUUAGCUAGUAGGUGGGGUAAUGGCUCACCUAGGCGACGAUCCCUAGCUGGUCUGAGAGGAUGACCAGCCACACUGGAACUGAGACACGGUCCAGACUCCUACGGGAGGCAGCAGUGGGGAAUAUUGCACAAUGGGCGCAAGCCUGAUGCAGCCAUGCCGCGUGUGUGAAGAAGGCCUUCGGGUUGUAAAGCACUUUCAGCGAGGAGGAAGGUGGUGAGCUUAAUACGCUCAUCAAUUGACGUUACUCGCAGAAGAAGCACCGGCUAACUCCGUGCCAGCAGCCGCGGUAAUACGGAGGGUGCAAGCGUUAAUUGGAAUUACUGGGCGUAAAACGCACGCAGGCGGUUUGUUAAGUCAGAUGUGAAAUCCCCGGGCUCAACCUGGGAACUGCAUUUGAAACUGGCAAGCUAGAGUCUCGUAGAGGGGGGGUAGAAUUCCAGGUGUAGCGGUGAAAUGCGUAGAGAUCUGGAGGAAUACCGGUGGCGAAGGCGGCCCCCUGGAACGAAGA